CAUUGCGCUCCAAGUUAUAACAUUCUUUUCUCUCAAACCAUCAAACACUUCUCUAGCAACAUCAACAGAUCCACAUUUAGCAUACAUGUCAACCAUCGCCGUCCCCAAAAUAACAUCCAACGAAAACGUAUUCUUCACUAUAUAUUCAUGUACAACCUUAGCCUUAUGCAUUGCCCCUAUCUUUGCACAAGCAUUUACGACAUUUACGAGAGCAACUUUAUCCGGAACAACUACUCCUUCCUCUCUCAUUUGAUCAAACAAAUCUAAAGCCUCAUUCGGAUCCCCACACUCCGUAUACGCUCCAAUCAUGACUGUCCAAGUCACAAGGUCUCUCAUAGGGAUAACAUCCAACGAAAAUCUAUUCCUGGCAAUAUAUUCAUGUACAACCUUAGCCUUAUGCAUUGCGCCUAUCUUUGCACAAGCAUUUACUACAUUUACCAAAGCAACUUUAUCCGGAACAACU
RNAcentral lists this long non-coding RNA (463 nucleotides) under Nicotiana benthamiana. Its description in RNAcentral is "long non-coding RNA (NBEN_LNC040055)". The record is from RNAcentral. Lineage: Eukaryota; Viridiplantae; Streptophyta; Magnoliopsida; Solanales; Solanaceae.